CUACGGGACGCUGCAGUAGGGAAUAUUGCACAAUGGGGGGAACCCUGAUGCAGCAACGCCGCGUGGAGGAUGACGCAUUUCGGUGUGUAAACUCCUUUUAUAUGUCAAGAAAAUGACGGUAGCAUAUGAAUAAGCACCGGCUAACUCCGUGCCAGCAGCCGCGGUAAUACGGAGGGUGCAAGCGUUACUCGGAAUCACUGGGCGUAAAGGACGCGUAGGCGGGUUGGAAAGUCAGGUGUGAAAUCCUACAGCUUAACUGUAGAACUGCACUUGAAACUUCUAAUCUAGAGUAUGGGAGGGGGAGAUGGAAUUAGUGGUGUAGGGGUAAAAUCCGUAGAUAUCACUAGGAAUACCUAAAGCGAAGGCGAUCUCCUGGAACAUUACUGACGCUAAGGCGUGAAAGCGUGGGGAGCAAACAGGAUUAGAUACCCCGGUAGUC
Molecule: ribosomal RNA, 439 nt
Filed under: uncultured bacterium
Lineage: Bacteria
Description: partial 16S ribosomal RNA
Rfam family: Bacterial small subunit ribosomal RNA
Source: RNAcentral